RNAcentral lists this long non-coding RNA (341 nucleotides) under Monodelphis domestica (gray short-tailed opossum). Its description in RNAcentral is "lncRNA (ENSMODG00000039680.1)". The record is from RNAcentral. Lineage: Eukaryota; Metazoa; Chordata; Mammalia; Didelphimorphia; Didelphidae.
AAGCAAAUAAAAGUUUAUAUUACAACAUCAUUUAACUGCCUGAAAUAAACAUAAUGGUCAAUCUCUUCCAAUUACAGUGACAUAUUAAUAUCUUACCUCCCUUGAGGAGAAAAGAACGGAUUAGGCUAAUCUUUUAAGGGGCUGAAGUAUUUUAUGUCUUUGCAAAGUCUUUCUGCAUCUAUAAACACAUUAAAGAAAUAAAGAAAACAGCGACACAUAGUGGCCAAUUUUGUUUCCUACAGCUCAAAAUUCAGGAUUUGCAGAGAUGCCCUCUUCCAUUGAUUUCAAAAGCUACUUGGGGAUCAAAUGAGGUAGAAAUCCCGUGAUAUAAAAGUGAUGAC